AGAAAGCUCAAAACGUUUCCCUGUCCCCACUGUCCUAUCCAGUGCUCAGCAUCGGGGAAGGAGGCUUCUGGGAAGGCCAGGUCAAAGGUCGAGUUGGCUGGUUCCCCUCUGACUGCCUAGAAGAGGUGGCAAACCGCUCCCAGGAGGGAAGACAAGAAAGCCGAAGCGACAAGGCAAAGAGACUCUUCAGGCAUUACACAGUGGGCUCCUACGACAGCUUCGAUGCCCCAAGUCUGAUCAAUGGGAUUGACUCAGGGAGGUGAGAGGGGCGGGGUAGGG
Peromyscus maniculatus bairdii (prairie deer mouse) is the source of this 279-nucleotide non-coding RNA. The record is from RefSeq and is a predicted model, not a curated record. NCBI's taxonomy places the organism in Eukaryota, Metazoa, Chordata, Mammalia, Rodentia, Cricetidae.